GAUGAACGCUGGUGGCGUGCCUAACACGUGCAAGUCGAGCGAUUCUCUUCGGAGAAGAGCGGCGGACGGGUGAGUAACGCGUGGGUAACCUGCCCUGUACACACGGAUAACAUACCGAAAGGUAUGCUAAUACGAGAUAACAUGCUUUUAUCGCAUGGUAGAAGUAUCAAAGCUUUUGCGGUACAGGAUGGACCCGCGUCUGAUUAGCUAGUUGGUGAGGUAACGGCUCACCAAGGCGACGAUCAGUAGCCGACCUGAGAGGGUGAUCGGCCACAUUGGAACUGAGACACGGUCCAAACUCCUACGGGAGGCAGCAGUGGGGAAUAUUGCACAAUGGGCGAAAGCCUGAUGCAGCAACGCCGCGUGAGCGAUGAAGGCCUUCGGGUCGUAAAGCUCUGUCCUCAAGGAAGAUAAUGACGGUACUUGAGAAGGAAGCCCCGGCUAACUACGUG
This 452-nucleotide ribosomal RNA is filed under the name uncultured bacterium. Its description in RNAcentral is "partial 16S ribosomal RNA". It matches the Rfam family "Bacterial small subunit ribosomal RNA", at positions 28 to 507 of the family's 1533-position model. The record is from RNAcentral.